AUUGAACGCUGGCGGCAUGCUUUACACAUGCAAGUCGAACGGCAGCGCGGGCUUCGGCCUGGCGGCGAGUGGCGAACGGGUGAGUAAUACAUCGGAACGUGCCCAGUAGUGGGGGAUAGCUCGGCGAAAGCCGGAUUAAUACCGCAUACGACCUGAGGGUGAAAGCGGGGGAUCUUCGGACCUCGCGCUAUUGGAGCGGCCGAUGGCAGAUUAGCUAGUUGGUGGGGAAAAGGCCUACCAAGGCGACGAUCUGUAGCUGGUCUGAGAGGACGACCAGCCACACUGGGACUGAGACACGGCCCAGACUCCUACGGGAGGCAGCAGUGGGGAAUUUUGGACAAUGGGCGAAAGCCUGAUCCAGCAAUGCCGCGUGUAUGAUGAAGGCCUUCGGGUUGUAAAGCACUUUUGGCGGGAACGAAAAGGACUGUGCCAAUACCACGGUUCGAUGACGGUACCCGCAGAAUAAGCACCGGCUAACUACGUG
Molecule: ribosomal RNA, 484 nt
Filed under: uncultured bacterium
Lineage: Bacteria
Description: partial 16S ribosomal RNA
Rfam family: Bacterial small subunit ribosomal RNA
Source: RNAcentral